GGUUUAGCUCAGUUGGUUAGAGCGUGGUGCUAGUAACAGCAGGGUCGCAGGUUCGAUCCCUGCAGGGGCCA
Rhea pennata is the source of this 71-nucleotide non-coding RNA. Lineage: Eukaryota; Metazoa; Chordata; Aves; Rheiformes; Rheidae. The record is from the annotation of a RefSeq genome assembly.